GGGCUUCCUUUUGCAGUACAUAUACUAAAAUUGUAGUAAUACAGAGAUUACCAUGGUCCCUACACAAGAAUGAAAUUCAACUUUGUGAAUUGUUCCAUAUUUUU
This is a small nuclear RNA of Rhinolophus ferrumequinum (greater horseshoe bat), 104 nucleotides long. Lineage: Eukaryota; Metazoa; Chordata; Mammalia; Chiroptera; Rhinolophidae. The record is from Ensembl.